Small nuclear RNA from Eptesicus fuscus (big brown bat), 104 nucleotides. The record is from RefSeq and is a predicted model, not a curated record. Lineage: Eukaryota; Metazoa; Chordata; Mammalia; Chiroptera; Vespertilionidae.
GUGAUCGCUUCGGCAGCACAUAUACUAAAAUUGUAAUGAUACAGAGAUUAGCAUGGCCCCUGAGGAAGGAUGGCACACAAAUUUGUGAAGCAUUCCGUAUUAAG